CUGAACAUAGGUCAACAUCAGAUACCAUUGGCUCUUCACUCAGAUCUGGAAUGUCUAGGCCUCAAUACCUCCUCAUGCAAUUGGAUCCUUGAUUUCCUCACUUGCAGACCGCAGUCAGUUUGGAUUGGCAGCAGCAUCUCCUCCACGAUCUCCAUCAGCACAGACGUAACUCAAGGCUGUGUGCUCAGGCCCCUGCUCUGCUCACUUUACACUGAUGACUGUGUGGUUAAGUAAAGCUCCAAUGAAUAAUAAAGUUUGCUGACUACACCACAGUUGUGGGCCGAAAUGAAGGUGGUGGCAAAGCAGCAUAUGCAACGGAGAUUGAAAAUCUGACUGAGUGGUGCCACAACACAACAAAAGAGCUGAUUAUUGCCUGCAGGAGGAGGAAACCAGAGGUCCAGGCUGACCUCAUCAGAUGAUCAGAGGAAUGUGGAGGAGAAACCAGAGCACCUGGAGAAAACACACGGUCACAUGGAAACAUGCAACUCCUUACAGACAGCGGCAGAUCAGAAGCUGAACUGAAAAGCAAGCAGAAAUUCCAUAUAUUAAGCAGAGGAUAAAAGAAAGUUUCUUCGGCAAACAUCAAUUGUUUGUUCCUGUUCAUAGAUGCUGGCUGACAUGCUGUGUUCCUCCAGCAUUUCGUGCGUGGUGUUCUUCAUUAUUCUUUUGUGUUCAAUAUGUAAAAAUGACCUCAUACAAGACAUGUAGUUUCUUCAAAGUUAGGAAAUGUGGGCAUAAAUGUACAUUUUCUCUUCUUCACUGGUUUAUAUUUCCACCAGAAUGUUCCAGUGCCAGUCUGGCAGAAUGACUCUCCAGUCCUCAGUAGUCACCCAUUAGACAAAUAACAAUUCUCCUGCUUUACAUUGUUGAUAAUUUGGCUAUCUCCAAUGUUUACUCUACUUUCUUCUUUAAGUGAUAUUGACAUAUAAACAGUAUAACAUUACCCUCUGCUAAUGGUUAGCAAGAUACAAAUUACUUUGUACUAUUUUUGUUAUCCUGAGUGAUGUCAAUGUUUCUCAUAAUUAUCCAACAACUGUAUAAGAAGGCCAAUUCUAAUCAAUUUAAGAAGAAAAUAAUGUAAUAUAGAAAUAAUUUAAUGCUUAAUGUUAGCUUUUGACUGCAUUACCCUCCAGAAAUUUGACUGCCAACAGAAAUUCACCUCCAUCAAGAAAGUAUGAAAGCCAUCAUCCUAACUAAUGGAUCUGAAAAAGAGCAAAUCUCGAUGAAUAUAGAACAUAGAACAGUACAUUAUAGAAACAGGCCCUUCUGCAUAUGGUGCCAUGCUGAACUAAUUAAAUUAGGAAUCAAAUGCCCAACUAAACUAAUCUCUUUUGACAUAUCCUUCCAUUUCCUGCACAGUUAUGUGCCUAUUUCAGAACCUCUUGAACAUUAAAAUUCAGUUCAAGUUUAAUUGUCAUUCAACCAUACAUGAAUACUGCCAAAUGAAACAGCGUUACCCUGGGGCCAAGGUGCAAAACACAAUACCAACAGUCAUACACAGCACAAAGCACGUACAACAUAGCAAGCACAUGUAAGAUAUCAGUAAAAUACAGCCACUCCAAAAAAAAGUCCAGACCCUGAGUCCAUGAUUGCCACAGAAAUCUGCAGACAACCACAAUACAGACUGCCUUCUGCUGAGCAAGCACUGGGAUGCAGCACCAACUUCAGCCAGGUGCCAUGUCACACACUGCAGCCUGGAUGCCAUGCCACAUUGCUCCUGGUGGAGCACAUUGGCUCUGACACCUCUCUCCUGGAGGCUGUAAACAGGCAACACUACGGCAUUAGGCCUAGUCCUCCUUGUGACUGAGACCACAGAGCUCCCACACCAUCAGCCCCUGCUGUCUGCCAAUAAAUCAGUGAAUUGGACUUGCAGAAUUCCAUAUUAACAAUAUCCAAAAGGGUCUUACAAUCACAAGAAAAGUGACUAAGACAGUCACUCGCUAUUAGACUGCACAUCUCCCUCCCACACCCACUCCCUGAUGCAAGCAGUAGCCCCUUCAGUUUCUCCACCAAUGAGCAACUCGCUCAUGGGAUAGAUCUGCAGUACUUUAGGUUCCUAAUGUCUAGCAGCGACCUGCAAUCAUAAUAAAUAAGUUUAAAAAGGACAGCAGCGCCCUUUGUUGACCUGUUAGAAGACACUGGGAUCAAACGUGCUGCCAUCUUACAGGAAGCAUCCUGCCAACACCGCCUCAAGCAGCGUUUUCCAGGCACCCACCACUCUGUGUAAAAAAAACCUUGCCUUGCACAUCCUGUUUGAACUUACUCCCUCUCACUUUAAAGCAUGUCCUCUGGCAUGUUCACUUCAGUUCAGUGUCUUCCCCAACCAGAAGCCCAGGAUGAACCAUUAGAUCUGCAAUCUGCUGAGGCCCAGAUUAGAGGCAUUCAGGUCUGGCAACCAAGUAAUAUACAAGAGAUCCGGGUACAGUCUCCUGAAAGCCACCUCACGGGUGAAGUGGCAAUUCCGGAGUAAAUCUGAACCAAUGAGGGAUGCUCUGCAGCUGUGGCUGGGUUUGAAUACUAUUAUCCCUUACAAAGUGAAACUGAGUGAUGUAGGUGACAACAGGGCUUCACUUCCAGGUGAGCUCAAUGCCCUCUUUGACCAUCAAAACAUGGAGAAACCUUCAUGAACUCCCACAGCCCUUGAUGUCCCUGUGAUUUCAGACUCUGAGGCCAAUGUGAGAGCAUCCUUUAGGAGAGUGAACCCACAGAAAGCGCCUGGCCUAGUACUAAGGACCAGUGCUGAUCAACUGGCUGGAGUGUUCUCUGAUACCUUUUGAUGCACCAGCAAUAACUCUCGGAGAUGUGAGGCGAGAGAUAGGCUUUUAUUAGCUGGAAGAUAAAGCACUAUCAGCAGCAAGAGACCAUCACACAGCAUCCUGGAGACUGAGGGAGGAGCAGUGCCUCCAAUCGCCUUUAUACAGGGGUCUGUGGAAGGAGCCACAGGAGCAGUCAGCGGGGAGGGGGGGCAUGUCCGGACAGGUAUAUGUAGUUCACCACAACUUUAACUUCUCGCAUCAGCAGUCUGCUUCAAACAGGCUACAGUUAUUCCAGUGCCUAAGAAGAACGUGGUAAUCUGCCUCAAUCUACAUUGAUGAAGUGCUUUGACAGGUUGAUGAUGAAACAUGUCAACUCUUGCCUGUAAAGCAACUUGGAUCCACUCCAAUUUGCCUGACAACAUGAAGCUCCCUCUGUGGGCUUGUAUAGAAACUUGGGCCAUUAGCCAGCUCGACUAACAGCCACUAGAUUCAACGGUCAGAAAGCCACCUUUCUCAAACAAUAUGCUUCUAGGGUCAGUAUAACCAAACAGACAAGUUGGUCUGUUUUGAUUAACGGGACCCCGACUCGAGUGAGUGUUGUGUAAGUACUGCUCAUGUACAAUUAUCAGAUCGUACACUGCAUACAAUUAUAAAGAAAGUGUAUUUACUAAUUUCA
RNA transcript from Hypanus sabinus (Atlantic stingray), 3432 nucleotides. RefSeq lists it as uncharacterized. The record is from RefSeq and is a predicted model, not a curated record. The transcript has 3 exons. Lineage: Eukaryota; Metazoa; Chordata; Chondrichthyes; Myliobatiformes; Dasyatidae.